This is a non-coding RNA of Pelobates cultripes (western spadefoot toad), 205 nucleotides long. The record is from the annotation of a GenBank genome assembly. Lineage: Eukaryota; Metazoa; Chordata; Amphibia; Anura; Pelobatidae.
GCAUGUCCUACUCGUACAGAGAAAGCAGGAGAAGUCGUGAGAUUCCUGCUACGAGAAAUAAUACCCCGAUAUGGACUACCUUGCUCUAUAGGAUCGGACAAUGGUCCAGCUUUUGUUCAUCAGUGCCUACAACAACUGACUCAUAUGCUUGGUAUAAAGUGGAGGCUUCAUACGGCAUAUAGACCCCAGAGUUCUGGUAAGGUAG